UUUAGAUUUAAUUUUAGUCUUUUUAUUAGCUUAAAAAAAUUAUACAUAUAAAUUUAAAUUAAUUAAAAAAAGUUAGUUUAAAAUAUUUUUUCAUAAGGAAACUUAAAAAAAUUUUUAAUUUUCAAAUUUUGUGCCAGAAGUUUCGGUUAUACAAAUAAUUAAUUAAUAAAUUUUAGUAAUUAUAAAUAAUUUAAAUUAAGAAUUAAUAUAAAAAUUUUUGGUUAAAUAAAAAUAAAAUAAUAAUUUUCUUUAAAAAUUAUAUUUAUAAAAUAAAUAAAAUAACUAGGAUUAGAUACCCUAUUAAAAUUUAAUAUAAAAACUAAACCAUUAAAACUUAAAUGUUUAAAAUUAAAAAAUAUGGCAGUAUAAUAACUUAAUUAGGGGAUUUUGUUUAUUAAUUGAAAGUACACAAAAAACCUUACUUUAUUUUUAGCUUAUUUAUUUCCGUUUAAAAAAUUAAUAUAAAAUUUAAUUUUUAAAAAAUAACCUUAUUAAUUCAGGUCAAUAUAUAGUUUAUAAUAAAGUUUAAAUGAAAUACAUUAAAAAAAUUAUUUUUUAUUUAAAAUUUUUAUUAAAAUAAAAAUAUUUUAAAGAACUUAAAAGUAAUAAAAAAAUUAGAAUAAUUUUAUGAAUAAGUAAUUUUAUAUGCACAAAUUGCCCGUCAUUCUUAUAAAUUAGACAAGUCGUAACAUAGUAAAUGUAUUGGAAAAUGUAUUUAG
This 719-nucleotide ribosomal RNA is filed under the name Gynaikothrips ficorum. Its description in RNAcentral is "12S ribosomal RNA". Lineage: Eukaryota; Metazoa; Arthropoda; Insecta; Thysanoptera; Phlaeothripidae. The record is from RNAcentral.